Molecule: long non-coding RNA, 12708 nt
Organism: Patella vulgata (common limpet)
Lineage: Eukaryota; Metazoa; Mollusca; Gastropoda; Patellidae
Exons: 6
Source: RefSeq, a predicted model, not a curated record
AUUGUGUCGGAAGUGAGAUUUUCACCCCAGUCAACUUCAAAUCCGUGUAGCAAAAAAUCUAAAUGGUCAACCCCCUACAAAAUUAUGAUGAGGAGAUUGCCAAAUGUUGUCCCCAUUGUGCCUAUAAAGAUUGGAACCAACGGAAUGUUGAGAAAAAAGCUACAGCCUGUGAUGUUACAGCCAUUUAACAUUGAAGUCAAUGGGCAAAUAAUUGCUAGUCUGAGUCCUGAUGAGGUAAAGAAACAUGGCCGACUCGGGAUGUUGAUAUUUUUUCAAGGGCUUAUUUCCUGAAAUUUUGAAUGGAAAGUGUCAGAAAUAGUAAGAAUACUGCUUUUUUAUUGCCCAGCAGUAAGUUUUUUGACUAUUUGGUAUCAAAAUAGCCAUGAUUGGGGGUAUCCGUUGGUUGAGUGUGAAUUUUGGGUUGUAAAUGUGUAACAUUUUCUUCACAAUGAUAUCAAAACAUGGUUAGGUCUAAAUAUUAAGGCCAACUCAACUCCAGAUUUGGUCUAAAGUCACGAGAUGUAAACAAGGCUGACCCUAACCCUAACCCAAGACCCAGUCCUUACCCUAACCCUAACCCACAAUCUUGUCAAGAAGCAUGUAGCCUAGGCCUAAGCCAAGACCUAGUUCUGACCCUAGCCCAAACCCACAAUUGUGUAAAAAAAUCAUGUGCCCUAACCCUAUUUACAUGUUGUGACCUUGAACCAAGUCUGCAGUUGGCCUUAACAUUUAGACCUAACAUGUUUUUGACAUCAUACAAUGAAAUGUUAACAUGUACACUCCAAAAUUCACACCUGUGUGACUUUUGACCAAACAUGCAGUUGGCCUUAAUAUUUAGACCGAACCUCAAAACAUGGCAUCUACCUUUGAGAUUGGCUUAGACUUAUGUGACACUCAAGGUUUACUUUUUUACUGAUUGUUAACUGGUUUCUUUUUGGAGGGCCAGUGACGGGCUGUUCGCGAGAAAUAAAGAGGUUUAUUUCUAUUUCCAGUUGAAACCAUAUUUUUUUCUUAUUUUCUCACUGUUUUUUAUUGCAUAUUUAUCCCCAGCCUCCUAUCAUUUCAGGUGCCAGGGCAUUGUUUCAUAGAGUGGAAUGAUUGACCUCAACACAAGUAUUAAAAAAAAAGAAGCAAAACAGGUCUACAUCUCAAAACCUGAUCUCUUCCUGGACUGGCUUUAGGAGAACGAUGAUGCAUAUCAAUUUCAUCCCUGAUCUCUAUGACACCUGUGGUGGAAGUGGAGGGCAAAUCGUAAUCAGUUUGGGACCUCUGUAAACUUUGCUUUUUGGUGAUGACUUAAUUUCCGAGCUUGAAAAGGACGCUUGUGUGUUUAUCAUGGCCUCUCAUAUUGGAAGAUAACAUUAAUGGCUUGUGUGUUGAUCGACGGUUGUGCAUAUCUCUUGGUCAGGAAAGUUGUAGGCACCAUCGCCAUUGUAAAUCAUUUGACAGGCUCGAGUGAACGGGGCGACCUAUGAUUGGUCAGCAAUGUAUCAGAUUCCAUACCGGGGGGUGGGGAUGAAAAAACUGUUGUAGUGUUACAUAAUCAGAUUAUUUCAACUUACUUAUCCUGUGGAAAUACAGCUAUAUAGGAGAUAUUUUGAAAUUCAUAGGCACUGCAUGUUUCAACAUUUUAGAUUUGACCACAAUUUGGCACUUAAAACUAUGUUAACAGAGAAAAACUGUGUGGUUUUCGAUGAAAGUGUUAAAAGUCUAAUAUUGCAUCAUGAUUACUGUUUUAAAGUAUUUUCGUGUUUGAUUUAUAUUGAAUUCAUCUCAUCUUUUUGAAGAAUGCAUUUAUGUUCAAAAAUAAAAAUGUUCUGUGGAAUUCAAAAUUCAUGUGCUUUUAAAUUAUCAGAUUCCAAACUGGGGGGUAGGGAUGAAAAAGCUGUUGUAGUGUUACAUAAUCAGAUUAUUUCAACUUACUUAUCCUAUGGAAAUACAGCUAUAUAGGAGAUAUUUUAAAAUUCAUAGGCACUGCAUGUUUCAACAUUUUAGAUUUGACCACAAUUUGGCACUUGAAACUACGUUAACAGAGAAAAACUGUGUGGUUUUCGAUGAAAGUGUUAAAAAGUCUAAUAUUGCAUCAUGAUUACUGUUUUAAAGUAUUUUCGUGUUUGAUUUAUAUUGAAUUUAUCUCAUCUUUUUACAGAAUGCAUUUAUGUUCAAAAAUAAAAAUGUUCUGUUUAAUUCAAAAUUCAUGUGCUUUUAAAUUUCUGUCUGAAAUUCCGCAGUUUUCUGAUGCAUUAUAGUGUUUGCAGAAUGCCGCACAGCUCAUCUGAAAAUGCAUAGAUUUUCAUAUUCUUUGGUCAGGGAAUUGCAUAUAUGUUUGUUUAUUAGAUAACAACAGAUUUGUUUAAACUGCAGAAACAUGUGAGGUAUAUAUAUAUGGACUAAGACUAGUAAUUAUUUCCCCUUAUUUCAUGAUGGACGAAUGUAGUGCGAGUUAUAAAUAGACAAUUUUUCCCUUAAUUUUUUUCUCCCCUCUUCCUGCAUUUUUGGGUUGACUUUUUGGUCUAGAAUUGGAGAAAAGGGAUCAAAUUUGCAAUUUCAUAGCAGUUUUGGGUAAUACUGAUGAUAUUACAGCGGAGGGAUAGGGGGUGUAAAGUGUCUUUCUGCAGAGCAGUCAUUGUGUCGGAAGUGAGAUUUUCACCCCAGUCAACUUCAAAUCCGUGUAGCAAAAAAUCUAAAUGGUCAACCCCCUACAAAAUUAUGAUGAGGAGAUUGCCAAAUGUUGUCCCCAUUGUGCCUAUAAAGAUUGGAACCAACGGAAUGUUGAGAAAAAAGCUACAGCCUGUGAUGUUACAGCCAUUUAACAUUGAAGUCAAUGGGCAAAUAAUUGCUAGUCUGAGUCCUGAUGAGGUAAAGAAACAUGGCCGACUCGGGAUGUUGAUAUUUUUUCAAGGGCUUAUUUCCUGAAAUUUUGAAUGGAAAGUGUCAGAAAUAGUAAGAAUACUGCUUUUUUAUUGCCCAGCAGUAAGUUUUUUGACUAUUUGGUAUCAAAAUAGCCAUGAUUGGGGGUAUCCGUUGGUUGAGUGUGAAUUUUGGGUUGUAAAUGUGUAACAUUUUCUUCACAAUGAUAUCAAAACAUGGUUAGGUCUAAAUAUUAAGGCCAACUCAACUCCAGAUUUGGUCUAAAGUCACGAGAUGUAAACAAGGCUGACCCUAACCCUAACCCAAGACCCAGUCCUUACCCUAACCCUAACCCACAAUCUUGUCAAGAAGCAUGUAGCCUAGGCCUAAGCCAAGACCUAGUUCUGACCCUAGCCCAAACCCACAAUUGUGUAAAAAAAUCAUGUGCCCUAACCCUAUUUACAUGUUGUGACCUUGAACCAAGUCUGCAGUUGGCCUUAACAUUUAGACCUAACAUGUUUUUGACAUCAUACAAUGAAAUGUUAACAUGUACACUCCAAAAUUCACACCUGUGUGACUUUUGACCAAACAUGCAGUUGGCCUUAAUAUUUAGACCGAACCUCAAAACAUGGCAUCUACCUUUGAGAUUGGCUUAGACUUAUGUGACACUCAAGGUUUACUUUUUUACUGAUUGUUAACUGGUUUCUUUUUGGAGGGCCAGUGACGGGCUGUUCGCGAGAAAUAAAGAGGUUUAUUUCUAUUUCCAGUUGAAACCAUAUUUUUUUCUUAUUUUCUCACUGUUUUUUAUUGCAUAUUUAUCCCCAGCCUCCUAUCAUUUCAGGUGCCAGGGCAUUGUUUCAUAGAGUGGAAUGAUUGACCUCAACACAAGUAUUAAAAAAAAAGAAGCAAAACAGGUCUACAUCUCAAAACCUGAUCUCUUCCUGGACUGGCUUUAGGAGAACGAUGAUGCAUAUCAAUUUCAUCCCUGAUCUCUAUGACACCUGUGGUGGAAGUGGAGGGCAAAUCGUAAUCAGUUUGGGACCUCUGUAAACUUUGCUUUUUGGUGAUGACUUAAUUUCCGAGCUUGAAAAGGACGCUUGUGUGUUUAUCAUGGCCUCUCAUAUUGGAAGAUAACAUUAAUGGCUUGUGUGUUGAUCGACGGUUGUGCAUAUCUCUUGGUCAGGAAAGUUGUAGGCACCAUCGCCAUUGUAAAUCAUUUGACAGGCUCGAGUGAACGGGGCGACCUAUGAUUGGUCAGCAAUGUAUCAGAUUCCAUACCGGGGGGUGGGGAUGAAAAAACUGUUGUAGUGUUACAUAAUCAGAUUAUUUCAACUUACUUAUCCUGUGGAAAUACAGCUAUAUAGGAGAUAUUUUGAAAUUCAUAGGCACUGCAUGUUUCAACAUUUUAGAUUUGACCACAAUUUGGCACUUAAAACUAUGUUAACAGAGAAAAACUGUGUGGUUUUCGAUGAAAGUGUUAAAAGUCUAAUAUUGCAUCAUGAUUACUGUUUUAAAGUAUUUUCGUGUUUGAUUUAUAUUGAAUUCAUCUCAUCUUUUUGAAGAAUGCAUUUAUGUUCAAAAAUAAAAAUGUUCUGUGGAAUUCAAAAUUCAUGUGCUUUUAAAUUAUCAGAUUCCAAACUGGGGGGUAGGGAUGAAAAAGCUGUUGUAGUGUUACAUAAUCAGAUUAUUUCAACUUACUUAUCCUAUGGAAAUACAGCUAUAUAGGAGAUAUUUUAAAAUUCAUAGGCACUGCAUGUUUCAACAUUUUAGAUUUGACCACAAUUUGGCACUUGAAACUACGUUAACAGAGAAAAACUGUGUGGUUUUCGAUGAAAGUGUUAAAAAGUCUAAUAUUGCAUCAUGAUUACUGUUUUAAAGUAUUUUCGUGUUUGAUUUAUAUUGAAUUUAUCUCAUCUUUUUACAGAAUGCAUUUAUGUUCAAAAAUAAAAAUGUUCUGUUUAAUUCAAAAUUCAUGUGCUUUUAAAUUUCUGUCUGAAAUUCCGCAGUUUUCUGAUGCAUUAUAGUGUUUGCAGAAUGCCGCACAGCUCAUCUGAAAAUGCAUAGAUUUUCAUAUUCUUUGGUCAGGGAAUUGCAUAUAUGUUUGUUUAUUAGAUAACAACAGAUUUGUUUAAACUGCAGAAACAUGUGAGGUAUAUAGGACUAAGACUAGUAAUUAUUUCCCCUUAUUUCAUGAUGGACGAAUGUAGUGCGAGUUAUAAAUAGACAAUUUUUCCCUUAAUUUUUUUCUCCCCUCUUCCUGCAUUUUUGGGUUGACUUUUUGGUCUAGAAUUGGAGAAAAGGGAUCAAAUUUGCAAUUUCAUAGCAGUUUUGGGUAAUACUGAUGAUAUUACAGCGGAGGGAUAGGGGGUGUAAAGUGUCUUUCUGCAGAGCAGUCAUUGUGUCGGAAGUGAGAUUUUCACCCCAGUCAACUUCAAAUCCGUGUAGCAAAAAAUCUAAAUGGUCAACCCCCUACAAAAUUAUGAUGAGGAGAUUGCCAAAUGUUGUCCCCAUUGUGCCUAUAAAGAUUGGAACCAACGGAAUGUUGAGAAAAAAGCUACAGCCUGUGAUGUUACAGCCAUUUAACAUUGAAGUCAAUGGGCAAAUAAUUGCUAGUCUGAGUCCUGAUGAGGUAAAGAAACAUGGCCGACUCGGGAUGUUGAUAUUUUUUCAAGGGCUUAUUUCCUGAAAUUUUGAAUGGAAAGUGUCAGAAAUAGUAAGAAUACUGCUUUUUUAUUGCCCAGCAGUAAGUUUUUUGACUAUUUGGUAUCAAAAUAGCCAUGAUUGGGGGUAUCCGUUGGUUGAGUGUGAAUUUUGGGUUGUAAAUGUGUAACAUUUUCUUCACAAUGAUAUCAAAACAUGGUUAGGUCUAAAUAUUAAGGCCAACUCAACUCCAGAUUUGGUCUAAAGUCACGAGAUGUAAACAAGGCUGACCCUAACCCUAACCCAAGACCCAGUCCUUACCCUAACCCUAACCCACAAUCUUGUCAAGAAGCAUGUAGCCUAGGCCUAAGCCAAGACCUAGUUCUGACCCUAGCCCAAACCCACAAUUGUGUAAAAAAAUCAUGUGCCCUAACCCUAUUUACAUGUUGUGACCUUGAACCAAGUCUGCAGUUGGCCUUAACAUUUAGACCUAACAUGUUUUUGACAUCAUACAAUGAAAUGUUAACAUGUACACUCCAAAAUUCACACCUGUGUGACUUUUGACCAAACAUGCAGUUGGCCUUAAUAUUUAGACCGAACCUCAAAACAUGGCAUCUACCUUUGAGAUUGGCUUAGACUUAUGUGACACUCAAGGUUUACUUUUUUACUGAUUGUUAACUGGUUUCUUUUUGGAGGGCCAGUGACGGGCUGUUCGCGAGAAAUAAAGAGGUUUAUUUCUAUUUCCAGUUGAAACCAUAUUUUUUUCUUAUUUUCUCACUGUUUUUUAUUGCAUAUUUAUCCCCAGCCUCCUAUCAUUUCAGGUGCCAGGGCAUUGUUUCAUAGAGUGGAAUGAUUGACCUCAACACAAGUAUUAAAAAAAAAGAAGCAAAACAGGUCUACAUCUCAAAACCUGAUCUCUUCCUGGACUGGCUUUAGGAGAACGAUGAUGCAUAUCAAUUUCAUCCCUGAUCUCUAUGACACCUGUGGUGGAAGUGGAGGGCAAAUCGUAAUCAGUUUGGGACCUCUGUAAACUUUGCUUUUUGGUGAUGACUUAAUUUCCGAGCUUGAAAAGGACGCUUGUGUGUUUAUCAUGGCCUCUCAUAUUGGAAGAUAACAUUAAUGGCUUGUGUGUUGAUCGACGGUUGUGCAUAUCUCUUGGUCAGGAAAGUUGUAGGCACCAUCGCCAUUGUAAAUCAUUUGACAGGCUCGAGUGAACGGGGCGACCUAUGAUUGGUCAGCAAUGUAUCAGAUUCCAUACCGGGGGGUGGGGAUGAAAAAACUGUUGUAGUGUUACAUAAUCAGAUUAUUUCAACUUACUUAUCCUGUGGAAAUACAGCUAUAUAGGAGAUAUUUUGAAAUUCAUAGGCACUGCAUGUUUCAACAUUUUAGAUUUGACCACAAUUUGGCACUUAAAACUAUGUUAACAGAGAAAAACUGUGUGGUUUUCGAUGAAAGUGUUAAAAGUCUAAUAUUGCAUCAUGAUUACUGUUUUAAAGUAUUUUCGUGUUUGAUUUAUAUUGAAUUCAUCUCAUCUUUUUGAAGAAUGCAUUUAUGUUCAAAAAUAAAAAUGUUCUGUGGAAUUCAAAAUUCAUGUGCUUUUAAAUUAUCAGAUUCCAAACUGGGGGGUAGGGAUGAAAAAGCUGUUGUAGUGUUACAUAAUCAGAUUAUUUCAACUUACUUAUCCUAUGGAAAUACAGCUAUAUAGGAGAUAUUUUAAAAUUCAUAGGCACUGCAUGUUUCAACAUUUUAGAUUUGACCACAAUUUGGCACUUGAAACUACGUUAACAGAGAAAAACUGUGUGGUUUUCGAUGAAAGUGUUAAAAAGUCUAAUAUUGCAUCAUGAUUACUGUUUUAAAGUAUUUUCGUGUUUGAUUUAUAUUGAAUUUAUCUCAUCUUUUUACAGAAUGCAUUUAUGUUCAAAAAUAAAAAUGUUCUGUUUAAUUCAAAAUUCAUGUGCUUUUAAAUUUCUGUCUGAAAUUCCGCAGUUUUCUGAUGCAUUAUAGUGUUUGCAGAAUGCCGCACAGCUCAUCUGAAAAUGCAUAGAUUUUCAUAUUCUUUGGUCAGGGAAUUGCAUAUAUGUUUGUUUAUUAGAUAACAACAGAUUUGUUUAAACUGCAGAAACAUGUGAGGUAUAUAGGACUAAGACUAGUAAUUAUUUCCCCUUAUUUCAUGAUGGACGAAUGUAGUGCGAGUUAUAAAUAGACAAUUUUUCCCUUAAUUUUUUUCUCCCCUCUUCCUGCAUUUUUGGGUUGACUUUUUGGUCUAGAAUUGGAGAAAAGGGAUCAAAUUUGCAAUUUCAUAGCAGUUUUGGGUAAUACUGAUGAUAUUACAGCGGAGGGAUAGGGGGUGUAAAGUGUCUUUCUGCAGAGCAGUCAUUGUGUCGGAAGUGAGAUUUUCACCCCAGUCAACUUCAAAUCCGUGUAGCAAAAAAUCUAAAUGGUCAACCCCCUACAAAAUUAUGAUGAGGAGAUUGCCAAAUGUUGUCCCCAUUGUGCCUAUAAAGAUUGGAACCAACGGAAUGUUGAGAAAAAAGCUACAGCCUGUGAUGUUACAGCCAUUUAACAUUGAAGUCAAUGGGCAAAUAAUUGCUAGUCUGAGUCCUGAUGAGGUAAAGAAACAUGGCCGACUCGGGAUGUUGAUAUUUUUUCAAGGGCUUAUUUCCUGAAAUUUUGAAUGGAAAGUGUCAGAAAUAGUAAGAAUACUGCUUUUUUAUUGCCCAGCAGUAAGUUUUUUGACUAUUUGGUAUCAAAAUAGCCAUGAUUGGGGGUAUCCGUUGGUUGAGUGUGAAUUUUGGGUUGUAAAUGUGUAACAUUUUCUUCACAAUGAUAUCAAAACAUGGUUAGGUCUAAAUAUUAAGGCCAACUCAACUCCAGAUUUGGUCUAAAGUCACGAGAUGUAAACAAGGCUGACCCUAACCCUAACCCAAGACCCAGUCCUUACCCUAACCCUAACCCACAAUCUUGUCAAGAAGCAUGUAGCCUAGGCCUAAGCCAAGACCUAGUUCUGACCCUAGCCCAAACCCACAAUUGUGUAAAAAAAUCAUGUGCCCUAACCCUAUUUACAUGUUGUGACCUUGAACCAAGUCUGCAGUUGGCCUUAACAUUUAGACCUAACAUGUUUUUGACAUCAUACAAUGAAAUGUUAACAUGUACACUCCAAAAUUCACACCUGUGUGACUUUUGACCAAACAUGCAGUUGGCCUUAAUAUUUAGACCGAACCUCAAAACAUGGCAUCUACCUUUGAGAUUGGCUUAGACUUAUGUGACACUCAAGGUUUACUUUUUUACUGAUUGUUAACUGGUUUCUUUUUGGAGGGCCAGUGACGGGCUGUUCGCGAGAAAUAAAGAGGUUUAUUUCUAUUUCCAGUUGAAACCAUAUUUUUUUCUUAUUUUCUCACUGUUUUUUAUUGCAUAUUUAUCCCCAGCCUCCUAUCAUUUCAGGUGCCAGGGCAUUGUUUCAUAGAGUGGAAUGAUUGACCUCAACACAAGUAUUAAAAAAAAAGAAGCAAAACAGGUCUACAUCUCAAAACCUGAUCUCUUCCUGGACUGGCUUUAGGAGAACGAUGAUGCAUAUCAAUUUCAUCCCUGAUCUCUAUGACACCUGUGGUGGAAGUGGAGGGCAAAUCGUAAUCAGUUUGGGACCUCUGUAAACUUUGCUUUUUGGUGAUGACUUAAUUUCCGAGCUUGAAAAGGACGCUUGUGUGUUUAUCAUGGCCUCUCAUAUUGGAAGAUAACAUUAAUGGCUUGUGUGUUGAUCGACGGUUGUGCAUAUCUCUUGGUCAGGAAAGUUGUAGGCACCAUCGCCAUUGUAAAUCAUUUGACAGGCUCGAGUGAACGGGGCGACCUAUGAUUGGUCAGCAAUGUAUCAGAUUCCAUACCGGGGGGUGGGGAUGAAAAAACUGUUGUAGUGUUACAUAAUCAGAUUAUUUCAACUUACUUAUCCUGUGGAAAUACAGCUAUAUAGGAGAUAUUUUGAAAUUCAUAGGCACUGCAUGUUUCAACAUUUUAGAUUUGACCACAAUUUGGCACUUAAAACUAUGUUAACAGAGAAAAACUGUGUGGUUUUCGAUGAAAGUGUUAAAAGUCUAAUAUUGCAUCAUGAUUACUGUUUUAAAGUAUUUUCGUGUUUGAUUUAUAUUGAAUUCAUCUCAUCUUUUUGAAGAAUGCAUUUAUGUUCAAAAAUAAAAAUGUUCUGUGGAAUUCAAAAUUCAUGUGCUUUUAAAUUAUCAGAUUCCAAACUGGGGGGUAGGGAUGAAAAAGCUGUUGUAGUGUUACAUAAUCAGAUUAUUUCAACUUACUUAUCCUAUGGAAAUACAGCUAUAUAGGAGAUAUUUUAAAAUUCAUAGGCACUGCAUGUUUCAACAUUUUAGAUUUGACCACAAUUUGGCACUUGAAACUACGUUAACAGAGAAAAACUGUGUGGUUUUCGAUGAAAGUGUUAAAAAGUCUAAUAUUGCAUCAUGAUUACUGUUUUAAAGUAUUUUCGUGUUUGAUUUAUAUUGAAUUUAUCUCAUCUUUUUACAGAAUGCAUUUAUGUUCAAAAAUAAAAAUGUUCUGUUUAAUUCAAAAUUCAUGUGCUUUUAAAUUUCUGUCUGAAAUUCCGCAGUUUUCUGAUGCAUUAUAGUGUUUGCAGAAUGCCGCACAGCUCAUCUGAAAAUGCAUAGAUUUUCAUAUUCUUUGGUCAGGGAAUUGCAUAUAUGUUUGUUUAUUAGAUAACAACAGAUUUGUUUAAACUGCAGAAACAUGUGAGGUAUAUAUAUAUGGACUAAGACUAGUAAUUAUUUCCCCUUAUUUCAUGAUGGACGAAUGUAGUGCGAGUUAUAAAUAGACAAUUUUUCCCUUAAUUUUUUUCUCCCCUCUUCCUGCAUUUUUGGGUUGACUUUUUGGUCUAGAAUUGGAGAAAAGGGAUCAAAUUUGCAAUUUCAUAGCAGUUUUGGGUAAUACUGAUGAUAUUACAGCGGAGGGAUAGGGGGUGUAAAGUGUCUUUCUGCAGAGCAGUCAUUGUGUCGGAAGUGAGAUUUUCACCCCAGUCAACUUCAAAUCCGUGUAGCAAAAAAUCUAAAUGGUCAACCCCCUACAAAAUUAUGAUGAGGAGAUUGCCAAAUGUUGUCCCCAUUGUGCCUAUAAAGAUUGGAACCAACGGAAUGUUGAGAAAAAAGCUACAGCCUGUGAUGUUACAGCCAUUUAACAUUGAAGUCAAUGGGCAAAUAAUUGCUAGUCUGAGUCCUGAUGAGGUAAAGAAACAUGGCCGACUCGGGAUGUUGAUAUUUUUUCAAGGGCUUAUUUCCUGAAAUUUUGAAUGGAAAGUGUCAGAAAUAGUAAGAAUACUGCUUUUUUAUUGCCCAGCAGUAAGUUUUUUGACUAUUUGGUAUCAAAAUAGCCAUGAUUGGGGGUAUCCGUUGGUUGAGUGUGAAUUUUGGGUUGUAAAUGUGUAACAUUUUCUUCACAAUGAUAUCAAAACAUGGUUAGGUCUAAAUAUUAAGGCCAACUCAACUCCAGAUUUGGUCUAAAGUCACGAGAUGUAAACAAGGCUGACCCUAACCCUAACCCAAGACCCAGUCCUUACCCUAACCCUAACCCACAAUCUUGUCAAGAAGCAUGUAGCCUAGGCCUAAGCCAAGACCUAGUUCUGACCCUAGCCCAAACCCACAAUUGUGUAAAAAAAUCAUGUGCCCUAACCCUAUUUACAUGUUGUGACCUUGAACCAAGUCUGCAGUUGGCCUUAACAUUUAGACCUAACAUGUUUUUGACAUCAUACAAUGAAAUGUUAACAUGUACACUCCAAAAUUCACACCUGUGUGACUUUUGACCAAACAUGCAGUUGGCCUUAAUAUUUAGACCGAACCUCAAAACAUGGCAUCUACCUUUGAGAUUGGCUUAGACUUAUGUGACACUCAAGGUUUACUUUUUUACUGAUUGUUAACUGGUUUCUUUUUGGAGGGCCAGUGACGGGCUGUUCGCGAGAAAUAAAGAGGUUUAUUUCUAUUUCCAGUUGAAACCAUAUUUUUUUCUUAUUUUCUCACUGUUUUUUAUUGCAUAUUUAUCCCCAGCCUCCUAUCAUUUCAGGUGCCAGGGCAUUGUUUCAUAGAGUGGAAUGAUUGACCUCAACACAAGUAUUAAAAAAAAAGAAGCAAAACAGGUCUACAUCUCAAAACCUGAUCUCUUCCUGGACUGGCUUUAGGAGAACGAUGAUGCAUAUCAAUUUCAUCCCUGAUCUCUAUGACACCUGUGGUGGAAGUGGAGGGCAAAUCGUAAUCAGUUUGGGACCUCUGUAAACUUUGCUUUUUGGUGAUGACUUAAUUUCCGAGCUUGAAAAGGACGCUUGUGUGUUUAUCAUGGCCUCUCAUAUUGGAAGAUAACAUUAAUGGCUUGUGUGUUGAUCGACGGUUGUGCAUAUCUCUUGGUCAGGAAAGUUGUAGGCACCAUCGCCAUUGUAAAUCAUUUGACAGGCUCGAGUGAACGGGGCGACCUAUGAUUGGUCAGCAAUGUAUCAGAUUCCAUACCGGGGGGUGGGGAUGAAAAAACUGUUGUAGUGUUACAUAAUCAGAUUAUUUCAACUUACUUAUCCUGUGGAAAUACAGCUAUAUAGGAGAUAUUUUGAAAUUCAUAGGCACUGCAUGUUUCAACAUUUUAGAUUUGACCACAAUUUGGCACUUAAAACUAUGUUAACAGAGAAAAACUGUGUGGUUUUCGAUGAAAGUGUUAAAAGUCUAAUAUUGCAUCAUGAUUACUGUUUUAAAGUAUUUUCGUGUUUGAUUUAUAUUGAAUUCAUCUCAUCUUUUUGAAGAAUGCAUUUAUGUUCAAAAAUAAAAAUGUUCUGUGGAAUUCAAAAUUCAUGUGCUUUUAAAUUAUCAGAUUCCAAACUGGGGGGUAGGGAUGAAAAAGCUGUUGUAGUGUUACAUAAUCAGAUUAUUUCAACUUACUUAUCCUAUGGAAAUACAGCUAUAUAGGAGAUAUUUUAAAAUUCAUAGGCACUGCAUGUUUCAACAUUUUAGAUUUGACCACAAUUUGGCACUUGAAACUACGUUAACAGAGAAAAACUGUGUGGUUUUCGAUGAAAGUGUUAAAAAGUCUAAUAUUGCAUCAUGAUUACUGUUUUAAAGUAUUUUCGUGUUUGAUUUAUAUUGAAUUUAUCUCAUCUUUUUACAGAAUGCAUUUAUGUUCAAAAAUAAAAAUGUUCUGUUUAAUUCAAAAUUCAUGUGCUUUUAAAUUUCUGUC